Molecule: ribosomal RNA, 440 nt
Filed under: uncultured bacterium
Lineage: Bacteria
Description: partial 16S ribosomal RNA
Rfam family: Bacterial small subunit ribosomal RNA
Source: RNAcentral
CCUACGGGAGGCAGCAGUAGGGAAUAUUGCUCAAUGGGGGAAACCCUGAAGCAGCAACGCCGCGUGGAGGAUGAAGGUUUUCGGAUUGUAAACUUCUUUUGUUAGAGAAGAUAAUGACGGUAUCUAACGAAUAAGCACCGGCUAACUCCGUGCCAGCAGCCGCGGUAAUACGGAGGGUGCAAGCGUUACUCGGAAUCACUGGGCGUAAAGAGCGCGUAGGCGGGAUAGCAAGUCAGAUGUGAAAUCCUAUGGCUUAACCAUAGAACUGCAUUUGAAACUGUUAUUCUAGAGUAUGGGAGAGGUAGGUGGAAUUCUUGGUGUAGGGGUAAAAUCCGUAGAGAUCAAGAGGAAUACUCAUGGCGAAGGCGACCUACUAGAACAUAACUGACGCUGAUGCGCGAAAGCGUGGGGAGCAAACAGGAUUAGAUACCCUAGUAGUC